This is a non-coding RNA of Strongylocentrotus purpuratus (purple sea urchin), 45 nucleotides long. The record is from Rfam. Lineage: Eukaryota; Metazoa; Echinodermata; Echinoidea; Camarodonta; Strongylocentrotidae.
CCAACGGCUCUUUUCAGAGCCAACCACACACUCAAAAAAGAUCUC